This 1516-nucleotide ribosomal RNA is filed under the name uncultured prokaryote. RNAcentral describes it as "partial 16S ribosomal RNA". It matches the Rfam family "Bacterial small subunit ribosomal RNA". The record is from RNAcentral.
GAGUUUGAUCAUGGCUCAGAACGAACGCUGGCGGCAGGCUUAACACAUGCAAGUCGAGCGCGAAAAUCCUUCGGGAUGAGUAGAGCGGCGCACGGGUGAGUAACACGUGAGUAAUCUGCCUUUUGAUCUGGGAUAACAGCACGAAAGAGCUGCUAAUACCGGAUAAGACUCCGCGACUGCGGUCGUGAAGGAAAAGGGUGGGACCUCUUCGGAGGCCAUCUGUCAGAAGAUGAGCUCGCGGCCCAUUAGGUCGUUGGUGGGGUAAUGGCCUACCAAGCCUACGAUGGGUAGCUGGUCUGAGAGGACGAUCAGCCACACUGGAACUGAGACACGGUCCAGACUCCUACGGGAGGCAGCAGUGGGGAAUCUUGCGCAAUGGGCGAAAGCCUGACGCAGCCAUGCCGCGUGAGUGAAGAAGGCUUUCGGGUCGUAAAACUCUGUCGGCAGGAACGAUGGUGUAUGUCUCUAAUAAAGUCAUGCAUUGACGGUAGCUCCAAAGGAAGCACCGGCUAACUCUGUGCCAGCAGCCGCGGUAAUACAGAGGGUGCAAGCGUUGUUCGGAUUUAUUGGGCGUAAAGCGCACGUAGGCGGUCACUUAAGUCGGAUGUGAAAGCCCAGGGCUCAACCUUGGAAGUGCAUCCGAAACUGAUGAGCUAGAGUUCUCGGAGAGGGUAGUGGAAUUCCUGGUGUAGAGGUGAAAUUCGUAGAUAUCAGGAGGAACACCGGUGGCGAAGGCGACUACCUGGACGAUGAUUGACGCUGAGACCCGAAAGCGUGGGGAGCAAACAGGAUUAGAUACCCUGGUAGUCCACAGCUGUAAACGAUGGUACUAGUUGCUGCGGGAGAUGACACCUGCGGUGACGAAGCUAACGCAUUAAGUAUCCCGCCUGGGGAGUACGGCCGCAAGGCUGAAACUCAAAGGAAUUGACGGGGGCCCGCACAAGCGGUGGAACAUGUGGUUUAAUUCGACGCAACGCGCAGAACCUUACCCGGAUUUGACAUCCCGAGAAUCUCUUGGAAACUUGAGAGUGCCUCCAAGGAACUUGGUGACAGGUGCUGCAUGGCUGUCGUCAGCUCGUGUCGUGAGAUGUUGGGUUAAGUCCCGCAACGAGCGCAACCCUCGCCUUUAGUUGCCAUCAGGUUAAGCUGGGCACUCUAGAGGGACCGCCGGUGUUAAACCGGAGGAAGGUGGGGAUGACGUCAAGUCCUCAUGGCCUUUAUAUCCAGGGCUACACACGUACUACAAUGGCCGGUACAAAGGGCAGCGACUUCGCGAGGAGAAGCUAAUCUCGAAAAACCGGUCUCAGUCCGGAUCGGAGUCUGCAACUCGACUCCGUGAAGUUGGAAUCGCUAGUAAUCGUGGAUCAGCAUGCCACGGUGAAUACGUUCCCGGGCCUUGUACACACCGCCCGUCACACCACGGGAGUUGGUUGCUCCAGAAGUCGGUGAGCUAACCCGCAAGGGAGGCAGCCGCCCAAGGAGUGGUUGGUGACUGGGGUGAAGUCGUAACAAGGUA